AUGGACUUUUCCCAUUUUCGUUCAAUCUGCAGGGUGCUCUGCAACAACAUAACAAUGACAACUGUGCCUUCAGCUGGCUGCCUUUUAGCCAAGAACCACUAUUACAGAACACGAUUGAAUUCUGAAUCCAGUGUUUCUUCAAGCAGUUCAUCUUCCUCUUCUGAUCCCAUGCCAUUCUCAGACCAGGAAAAAAAUCAUCAUGGCCUACCUGAAAUAUUUGAAAAGUGCUGGUGGAUAAAAAGCUUUUUUCAUAGUGAGCCAACACCUCCAAAUGUAGGCAGAAAAACCUUAUCAGCCAGCAGUACUAACAGCUGAUUGGGAUAUCAAGUUGAAAGUUCCUGCUGGGACAUUAUAGACAGUCAUGUCUUGAAAUGAAUUCACUUCUGUGAAGAAAAUGAACUACUUGAGGAUUCAGUUGUAGAAGAAAUACAGAUUAUCAAGGAUUUAAUCAGAGCUUAUUCAACAAGCAACCAUCUUUACAGUGUCUGCUGCAAGAAUUCUUGAUAAUGAACAGGUGUCCUAUGUUUCAUAAUUUUUGUGUUUCACAAGAGAAAAUGCAAAUGCAAAGUGUAGUGGGAUAUGGUAUAUCUGAUGAUUUGGGAUAUCUUUUACUAAACUGAAAUGCUGUAGAUUUUUUGGGUCAAAAUCUUUUAAUGUUAACAUGCAUUUUAUACAAUGGUGCCUUUUUACUUAGCAAAAUAUACCACCUCUUUCCACAGAAUUUAAGUUUGGAAUGUUAACUAUAAUAAUCUUCUACUCAUGAAUAAUUUACUUAAAUGCCAAAUACAAAUUUCUCUUACUUGUCAACAGCUAGAAGAAAGCUGGUUAAGGCAUUAUUUAUGAUCCACAUUAAAAAACAAAAAUGGAAUAUACAUAGUAUUAAACUCCUUAUCUGAUUCUAAUUCUACUAUUUGCAUUGGAGCUUUAUUUCAUAGGUAUGUUACUAUUGUAUAUUACUGCUUUGACAUCAAAUAGUGUACAAUUUAUAUCAACUCUUCAAAUUAGAGAUAAUUUAAAAAACUCUGGAUUAAUUUUUAUUUUAUUUUUGAUGUAUACUAUUCUGUUUCAAAGCAUAGGAAAAAAACAGACCCAUGUUCUGCUUUGUAGGAGUUGUAAGUUUUAUUUACUUAUAAGGAAUAUAUAUUUGUAUCACAUGAGAAAAUCUGUGAGUGCUGAAUAUUCUAAAUUGAAUUAUUUAAUAUAUUGAUGAUGCUUCUAAUGUUCCUUUGUUAUCCUUUUAUUCUUCUGAUUAAUUAUACACAAUGUUCUGUAGUAUGAAUGAAUAGUAACAUCAAGUUUGAACAAUUUUGCUUUAUCAAAUUAUUACUUACCUGGAUGCAAUAUUGCUGACUGCAUACCUGGAUGCAUAAUGCUUUAAACACACACACACACACACACACACACACACACACACACACACACACACUGUAUACCCCUCUAGUGGAAAGAGAUUAAUAUAGCACAAUAAAAUAUAAACACGCAGUAAGUCUGUUCUUUAA
This 1499-nucleotide long non-coding RNA is filed under the name Notechis scutatus (mainland tiger snake). Its description in RNAcentral is "lncRNA (ENSNSUG00000000070.1)". Lineage: Eukaryota; Metazoa; Chordata; Lepidosauria; Squamata; Elapidae. The record is from RNAcentral.